This 191-nucleotide ribosomal RNA is filed under the name uncultured Shewanella sp. RNAcentral describes it as "partial 16S ribosomal RNA". It matches the Rfam family "Bacterial small subunit ribosomal RNA", at positions 338 to 521 of the family's 1533-position model. Lineage: Bacteria; Pseudomonadati; Pseudomonadota; Gammaproteobacteria; Alteromonadales; Shewanellaceae. The record is from RNAcentral.
CCUACGGGAGGCAGCAGUGGGGAAUAUUGCACAAUGGGCGCAACCCUGAUGCAGCCAUGCCGCGUGUGUGAAGAAGGCCUUCGGGUUGUAAAGCGCUUUCAGUAGGGAGGAAAGGGUGUAGUUUAAUACGCUAUAUCUGUGACGUUACCUACAGAAGAAGGACCGGCUAACUCCGUGCCAGCAGCCGCGGU